GCUCCGGCUCUGGAGCUUCCCAGGUCUCUUUCCAGGGACCCUCUGCUUCCUCGGGGGUCUUGUCGGGCAGAGGGGGCCCAGGUAGGAGUCGGUGUCAGAGGGUGAGAGACAGGGGAGAGUGACUGUGUCUUAAUAAAGGGACUAAAAACCUGAUGGAGGGAAUGACAGUGACACACAGCGCGCUUGCUGGAGAACAGCAGAGAGACACCCAGGCCCAGAGCCGGGCCGCUGUGAGCAUGAGGCUAAAACAGGGUCACCAAGCUUCCUGUGGCACAGGAGGCCACAGCCCGGUGGGGGAGCGGGUUUCUGAAGACCAGCUAACCACGGGGGGAAAGUCCCACCAGAGAGCAGGUAUGUCAUAUAUCCGCCUCCCACGGGGGACCUGGAGCAAAAGGCAGGAACGGAAAGUUAAUGGACAAAGACACUCGUGACUUAGGGCAGGGGAGGGCCCAAGACCUUCAAAACCCCAACUAUACAGGCAAAGCCAAAUUGUUCUGUCACAUUAAAAGAAAGCAUCUUUCUUUAAUGAAGGACACCACGGACAAAGUUAAUAAGAGAAGUGACAGGUAUUUGCAAUCUCUAAAGUCAACAAGGGACUUAAAAUCUAGACCCUACGAAGGAGUCCUGCAAAUCACCCAAACAACGAAACAAGCCAGUGGUGUCAUGAUGCCAGCGGCUUGGGAGGCUGAGGCAGGAGGAUCGGAGGUUCUAACUUGCCUCAGCAAGUUAGCCAGGAGAGGGAGACCCUAAGCAACUCAGGGAGACCCUGUCUCUAAAUAAAAGAGGGCUGGGGAUGGGGCUCACUGUUAAAAGUCCCCCUGGGUUCAGUCCCCAGUACCGACCAACCAACCAACCAACCAGCCAAAACAAAAACGAAAAUAAAACAGGAGCCCCAGUAGAAAGAUGGGCGGGGGGGUGUGCUGGCAGUUAGACUUCUGCACAACAAGCCUGAGAAGAGAAUUCAGACUCAUUAGUAAUCAGACAAAUGCAAAUUUAAAUACACCGAGAUGUUACUUUGCAUAUGUUAGACUGUCAAAAUUUAGAUAUCUGGGUAACAGCUAACGUUAGCAGAGACUGAGCUGCAGGGACUCCUGAGCCUGUGGAGAGACGCAGACCGUCAAGGGACGCUGGGUGAGCUGAGCUAAGUGUGGACACAUCUCCUAAGGCAUCAGUUCCAAACCCGCAGGAAAUACUUCUGAAAGCCGUCGGCUGGUCCAUGGCAGACGUGUAGGAGGGGCUGUGCAGGUGUGUCUGUGGGUCUGGAGCUGAAGGUCCUCUGCGUGGUCUUACGAGGGUGGACAGUGAAGAGGGGACAUAUCAUCAUGGACAACUGUGCAGCCACUGGGAACAGUGGAUGGCCGUAGUCCCAGCAACACGGACAGGUCUUGGAGGAAAAUAAGCCAUAGCCCGAGAGCUGCGGCACACACUGUGUCCAUAGGUUGACACAGGCUCAAAAUACGACAAGCACACCUCUCCAGGACUCACCCGACCAACAGGACGCGGCCAGUGCUGGACAAGUGUUGUCUGUGGGGAAGGCGGUGGGAGGGGAGGGGAGAUGAAAGGGAAAAAAUAAAUGAAUAGAACAACAGAAGAAAAAAAAAAACCCCACGUGUCAAGUUUCUCUCCAGGCUCCUGGCCUUGGCCAGAGAGGAAUGUAGUUCCAUGAGGACGGGACCCUGUCCAUUUCUUCACCCUCAAUUCCCAGCACUGAAGCCCAUGCCAGGCCCAUAUGGACGCUCAGGAAAUGUUCGGGUGAUUCCAUGAGACAACACAUGAGUUGAUGGGCAGAGGGCUUUGCAGAGGCAGCGCUGGUAUUUGUCUGGCCCGGUGAUUUGGAGUCGGGUGGCAAGAUUUCCCUCCUAGCUGCGCCAGACACUGCCAGCAAGAUGAUGCCACCUCUGAGCUUCAGUGUCCUCAUCUGGAAGCCACCUCAUCUGCUUGGAGCCUCCAGGGGCUAUUUGUAGUCGAUGCCCAGCAAACUUCCAUGCCCACACCUUGGCUCCGUGGAGUGAGGAAGGCAGGCACUUCUGGUGACAUUUAGGUGGACCUGGGUGGCUAUAUGCUGCGGUGGUCUGGGUACUUCACCAUCCCCAAGUAAUUUUUCCCUCUAGACAGGGAGGCUUUGUUCUCUGCAGCCUCCUGUGGAAAUGCUCAGAUCUCCGGGAGGGGGUCACCUUCAGCCGUCUGGCUCAGUGGAUGGGGACAGUUGAGAGCCACACCUUACCCUGGGAAUGCCA
Molecule: long non-coding RNA, 2237 nt
Filed under: Marmota monax (woodchuck)
Lineage: Eukaryota; Metazoa; Chordata; Mammalia; Rodentia; Sciuridae
Source: RNAcentral